This 124-nucleotide ribosomal RNA is filed under the name Trachinus draco (greater weever). Its description in RNAcentral is "partial 28S ribosomal RNA". The record is from RNAcentral. Lineage: Eukaryota; Metazoa; Chordata; Actinopteri; Perciformes; Trachinidae.
GGUGGGAUCCCGGCCCCUCGGGGUCGGGCGCACCACCGGCCCGUCUCGCCCGCAGCGUCGGGGAGGUGGAGCGUGAGCGCGUGCGAUAGGACCCGAAAGAUGGUGAACUAUGCCUGGGCAGGGC